GCCGCUAUAGCUCAGCUGGUAGAGCAGCUCACUCGUAAUGAGCAGGUCGUCCGUUCGAAUCGGAUUAGCGGCUCCA
RNAcentral lists this transfer RNA (76 nucleotides) under Geothermobacter hydrogeniphilus. RNAcentral's name for it is "Geothermobacter sp. EPR-M tRNA-Thr". It matches the Rfam family "tRNA". From Rfam's summary of the family: Transfer RNA (tRNA) molecules are approximately 80 nucleotides in length. Their secondary structure includes four short double-helical elements and three loops (D, anti-codon, and T loops). The record is from RNAcentral. Lineage: Bacteria; Pseudomonadati; Thermodesulfobacteriota; Desulfuromonadia; Desulfuromonadales; Geothermobacteraceae.